AUUAAAUUAAAAAACUGUUUUUAAUUAAAAAUUAAACUAGAGACAAGGAAGACACUAGAACUGACAUGCCUAAUCCAAAAUUUGGAUUCAAGAUCCUGAAUUUUCUCUAUUUUUAGCAAAGGGGGUCUCAUUAUGUAAACCAUUAGAAAUGAACGAUGGAUCCAAUAUACCAGUACCUUUCAAACAAGCUCCUCUUUACACCAAUGACUCAUAAACAUUUCUUGCCCGAGGCAAUUCUGUGCAUAACGCUGUGCCUUGCAGUAUUUCACUUGAAAGGAGUGCCUGAGGAAUUUACAAAUCAUCUUUUUAUUGUCCUAUUUACCCAGGAUCCUCGCCAAGUGGUCAGAAUUCCUAAAUACAUACCUUAGGCCUGGAGAUGUGUGGAGAGAGGAAGCAUAAGGGCUUGCUCCAACCUCAUUUCAUGGCGUGAGAGAAGUUAGAACCCAGCCAGAGUCUGGCAGUAGGCAGUUGGCUGUUGUCAGCCAGAAUUUGCUGUAUCAGACAGCCCCGAGGGGAGGGACUCCAUCUAUUCCCAAGCCUCCUUCCUAAUUGUCUAGUCCCAUGGCGUUAUUUUAUCUCAAUGGAUUUCUAUAUCUAUGCAACUCUGCUCCCCUCUGGCUCCCUUCCUUCCCAUUUCCCCUGUUUUACAACAUAAACUAACUCCCAGCAGAAUCAGAGUGAUGAAGGGGUGUCUGGUUCUGCAUACAUUACAAGGAUAAAAACUAAAUGCUGGGUGAUAAACACCACCAGACAGCACAGAACGCUCCAGGAGAAAAUGCUCUUUAAUGGAGUUGCUCUUAAAGUGUCUGCAUGUGGCAAGGCUAAAUUCCAUAAAGUCUCGGUUACAGAUCACAGACCUCAAAUGCAUGAAUAUUAAAGAAGAAAACAGCAGUGGAGCAACAAAAACUGAGAGGGGGAAGCUACUAAGAGAAAACCACAUUCUUCAGGCUUACUUCCUUUCAUACGGCCAGUGCUAGGAAAAACCACAAUAUCGAGAAAACUUUUUCUUCUAGAUACACUCUUUCACCCUUGCUGUCUUCUUUCCAUGCUCCUUACUCAUUCUGUUUCUAUCAUGAUCUGCCCACAGAGAUAGGAUCUGAAAAUAGUUAUUUGGAGAGCACAUAAGUGACAUAGCCCCCUGCCAUUUGCAUUUUAAUUGGGACAAAAAGUUUAACCUAAGAAAUGACUCUCCAAUAGUGGAAUUUCAGGAAAGAAUGGGAAAAUGAAGAGUAGGUGGAAAUGGAUGGAAAUUUUGGGAAAUCAAAUCUUUAAAUCAUACCCUAUAAAUGGUUUUCUUCAUUUAUGCAAGUUCUUUUCCACAGGGCUGAUUAAUACUCUAACCAUAUUUAUUUUUUUUCCUUUUCAAUCAUAGGUGUAGAAGCAGGAUGCUUAGAGCUUGGAUAGAUCAAGUUUUUCAAGUAUCGACCCUGUAAAAGUCCAUUUACUAUGAAUAAUGCCUUUCAGAAUACUCCUUCCAUUGCUCCAGCAUGGGGAGGUAUCAUUCUGAAGCCAUUCUUGUUGAACAUGCACUUGCUGUGAGAACAAUACUCAUUUAAAUUGCUGUCACUUUCAAGAUCACGAGCUAAUACCUCCAUGUACGUGUAUUUAGAAUUGAUCACAAACCUAGGAGAAGAGGAGGCCACUACCUGCUUUAUUGUCUAAACAAAUCCAUCGAGAGAUCUUGAGUCGUUUAAUCAUGGUGCUGUCAUUUGGUCUGAAUGCUGCGCUGUGAUUCACUGUUGGUGGGAGGGACUACAGAUAGUUCAGUAGGUGUAUGUGGUACAAUUUCAAGUGAUGCACAACAUACGGAUCGGUUGACUUCAAUUAUUUUCUGGUAAGAAAUAAAUGACUGGACUAUUGCUGAAACUCUGGAUCCCUUGGCUAUAGUUCAUGGGAAUGAGAACAGCAAAUUAUCUGAGUUGUCUUUGGAAGACUACUUUAUCUUCUAACUUGAGAAGAAAAGAUCUAGAGAAACACAAAGCCUUGCUUUCUACAAUGUUUAUGUAAGCAGAUAUCUUGAAUCUAGAUCAAAAGAUAAAAGAAAUCCAAAACCAUUGUCCAUACUAAUUUCUAGUUUGUCUUCAUUUAUAAUUAACUAGGCAGUGCCUGCACAUUGCCAAUAGAUAAACUAUGUAAGAGGACAACUGUAGAUAAGAAUGUGGCGAUUGUAUUUUUGUAUAAUCUAUUAAGAGAACCUUUGUCUAUACAGCACUCAUUUAAAAGAUUAGGAUCUGGACAAUAAUUAUGGAAAACUAAUGCUAUAAACCAGUAAACUUCUCCUUGCAUGAAGAUUAAGCAUUAAAAAAGACUGAAUACAAUUUAGAAAAAACAUGUAAUAAUUGUAUAAUGUUGGAGGUUCCUAAAGACAUGUAAUUGAUGUACACAAGCAUACAGGUGUGUCUUCUCUCUCUCUCUCUCUGUCUCUCUGUCUCUGUCUCUGUCUCUCUCUCU
This is a non-coding RNA of Equus caballus (horse), 2451 nucleotides long. The record is from RefSeq and is a predicted model, not a curated record. Lineage: Eukaryota; Metazoa; Chordata; Mammalia; Perissodactyla; Equidae.